Molecule: long non-coding RNA, 480 nt
Filed under: Setaria viridis
Lineage: Eukaryota; Viridiplantae; Streptophyta; Magnoliopsida; Poales; Poaceae
Description: long non-coding RNA (SVIR_LNC004346)
Source: RNAcentral
AUGCUAGUAAGGACGCCGCUACUCGACACACUCGUUCUUCGUCGAUAGAUAGCUCCAAGCUCGCACGUCGCCGACCCAAUCACCACUACAUCACCUUUCACCUACAUCUGCAUCACCUUUCACCUACAUCGACACCUGUAUCGACUCCAGAGGCAUUCAAGGCGGCACCAAGCUCUCGUUAGAUUGAUUUCCACCAAACUCCGCAUACUUAGAUGUAGUGAUCAUGUAUAGACUAUGGUUAUGUGGAUUAGAGCUCAUUAAGACCGUUCUCAAGUUGAGGCCAGUAAGGCCGCCCCUACCCGACAAUCUUUGUUCUUUACCGACAGAGAGCCCCAAGCUCUCACGUUGGCAACCCAAUCACCACUACAUCACCUACACCAACACCUAUAUCAACUCCAGAGGAAUCCAUGGCGGCACCAAGCUCUUAUUAGAUUGAUUUCCAUCAAACUCCGUAUACUUAGAAGUAGUGAUCAUGUAUAG